Molecule: long non-coding RNA, 1769 nt
Filed under: Macaca fascicularis (crab-eating macaque)
Lineage: Eukaryota; Metazoa; Chordata; Mammalia; Primates; Cercopithecidae
Description: lncRNA (ENSMFAG00000059677.1)
Source: RNAcentral
UUUUUUUUUUUUUUUUUGUCUAGGCCAUAGCAUUCUGGAGAAGAGCUCUAGACAAGAACUGUGAGCUCUUAGUUGUGAUUUCAGAUUUGUUGUUGCAGCUUGCUAUCUCUGGAUCUCCUUUUUUUCCAUCUAGAAAAGGAAAAGUGUUGGGCUUUCCUCUCCAGAUUCCCAAUUCCCUGAUUCUGUUAUCUGAUUUUAUAAUUUAUUACUGAUGGUUGCACUGGCAAAAUUCCCAGAUAUUUUGACACCACCUUUCCUACAAAAGUCACAGUCCGUUAAAAUGAAUUUGGCAAACAACAUUUUGACUUUUUCUUAACGUCAUAAAUACUUAGUUCUCAGAAUGUGAACAUGUAAAUAGUAAUGGCAACCAAUUACAUAGUAUUUACUAUGUAACAGGUAUGGUUCCAAUGCUUCAUUUAGUCUCACAACAAACCUGUGAGAUAUGUAGACAGAUAAAAAUUAUUCUUCUAGCUUUACAAUUGCUAAGAAAUAAUGUAUAAUAUGUCCUGUUUCUGCUACCGAAGUACCUUGGACAGACAGUCAAAAAGGGGUAAAGAAUGGAUAAAAAAUCAUCAACGGCAUGCCCCUAGAUCCAGAUUUUCUCCUAGAUUCAUGAAUUCAGGGUAAAACCUUAGACAAAAAGCCAGUGUCCAAGGAGCACAGAUAAAUUCAGCAGUGGUAUCUGUUCACUUUCAUGAAAACUGUCUAGAAACGUGGUCACAGGUUCAUACUGACCUGUCUGGAUGAACCUGAAGGUUUCUUUCUUGCUACAGAGUUAGGAUUGCAACCUGCCUGCAUGGAGAACAGGAUUCCUUCCUAAUUAGCAAUUGCUUCUUUUGUAGCUAUUGCUCCUGGAGCCAGAGCAACCUACUGGUGCACAGGGGAAUCCUGGUGUGCCCAGAAGUGGUUACAGUGAGCCUAAAUCAUCGACACCCUUGGCAAGGCUAUGGGGCCCCAGCAGCUUCCCCACCAUACUGCUGCAUUCCAUUGUGUAUGUGCCAAGUUACGCAAAUGAGUGGGAAACACCAGUAGAGAACGUAUUCUCUCUUUCCUACUUGCUGUCACUGAGAAUGAGAAUUCAACCAAAAUGUCCAUUUCACUUCAAGGUAAGGAAUUCCCCAUGGAACAGAAAAAGAGAAAAUCAUGUAUAAAACAGAAUCGCCACUCAAAAGAAUCCAGAGUUAUGCCUAUUCCAAUGCUGAACAGUUUCUUCAAGAAAAUGAAAUCAUAUUUAUUUAGAGUUUCUCUUUCUCUCUCUUUUUCGUGUGUGUGUGUGUGUGUGUAUGUGUGUGUGUGUGUGUGUCCCAAGCAAGGUAAACUGUUCUUCUUGUACCCAAAAAUACUUUUAAAGACCAAAAGUAAUGUGUAGGUCAGCCCUCGGACAGUUACUGCUACCAUCUUGUAUUACCGCUAGACCACAGUGAUCCAGAAAUGAUGCCAAGGGAGAAUCUACUCAGCUGGGCCUCUCUUGUUCCACACAAUCUAGGGAGUCAGGUUCUGAGCCUUGCAAGUCUAGAUGUAUGAUCUUCUCAGUGUCCCAGAGAAGACAGGCUAUGGGAGGGCAACCCAUACAAACCAAAUUCAUGCAAGGUUAAAUUAUAGCCCAGAAUGCGAUGUCAACAUUCUGAAAUUAAAUCAUCCAGGCAACUGGUAGUUACUCGGGAGACUGAUGUGGGAGGACUGCUUGAACCUGGGAGGCAGAGGUUGCAGUGAGCCGAGAUCGCGCCACUGCACACUGCAGCCUGGGUGACAGAGCGAGACUCCGUCUC